UUAACCCUUUAUCAUUUUUGGAAACUUUAUUGUUGGCUUUUUAUAUUUGAGUCUUAAACUCAACUAGAAUUGAUUAUGUGGGAUAGAGUAAAAGGUUGUGAUGGUUCAUUUUAUGUGUCUACUUGACUGGGCCAUGUGGCACCCAGACAUUUGGUCAAACAUUCUGGGUGUGUCUUUGAGGAUGUUUCUGAAGUGAGUAACAGUUGAAUCAGUGGACUGAGUGAAGCUGACAUGUGAGUGGGUUUCCUUCAACCAGUCGAACACAUGAGUAGAAUGAAAGGGCCAGGUCUGAGGGCACUCCUGAAUGAUGGGUGGAGGUGGGACAUCCAUUUCUCUGGUCUUCAGACUGAGCCUGAAGCAUUUGAUCUUCUUGGGUCUUGAGCCUACAGGCCAGCAGACUCAAACUAUGCCCUCUGCUCUCCUGUUUCUCAGGCUACGAUUGCAGAUCGGAACUACGUGUUAUGGUUUGAGGAUGUGAUAUGCUCCCCAAAGACCAUAUGCCAAAGGUUUGGUCCCCAGACUGUGGUGCUAUGAGGAGGUGGGACCUAGAUGAAGAAAGGAGGUUACUUCAGGAGCGCUUUGAAGGGGACAUUUUGUCUCUGCCUUUUUCUCUCUCUUUGCUUCUCUUUCCUGGACAUCCUGAGGAGAGCAGCUCUGUUCCACCAUGUGGUCACUGCCAUCAUGUUCUGUCUUGUCAAAGGCCCAAAGCUACAAAGUCAAGUGACCACGCACUGACACCUCUGAAUUUGUGAGCCAAGAUAAAUCUUUCUUCCUUUCAGUUGAUUUUCUCAUGCAUUUUGUUACAGUGAUAGAAAGCUGAUGAAUUCACUACAUAUUGACCAUCCUGAGUUCCUCACUUGCUGGCUGUAGAUAUUAAACUUCUCUGCCUACAUAAUUGUUCCAGCCAAUUAUUUAUAAUAAAUGAAUCUUUCUCUCUCUCUCUCUUUCUUUCUUUUCUCUCUCCCUCUUUCUUUCUUUUCCCCUCUUUCUUUUUCUCUGUCUUCUAUUAUUUCGGUUCCUCUGGAGAACCCUAAUACAAAGGCGUAGAACAAUUUUAUUUUUUCUAAAUAAAUACCCCUUUGUGCCAGCACCAUCUACUAUAAUAUUGUCCCUUCCCCACUGAUCUCAAACCUGCCUCUCAAGCUUCCGUAUGUGCAUGGGACUAUUUUUGUGCUCUCUAGUCUGUUCUAUUGGGCCACUGCCCUGUCCCUGUGUCCACACCACAUGUCUCAUUACUAUAGGCUAAUUAUAAGUCUUGGUGCUUGAUGAGGAAAAUAGUCUCCUCUUGCCCUUUUUUAAAAGAGUGUCUUGGCUAUAUAUUGCAC
RNAcentral lists this long non-coding RNA (1325 nucleotides) under Marmota monax (woodchuck). The record is from RNAcentral. Lineage: Eukaryota; Metazoa; Chordata; Mammalia; Rodentia; Sciuridae.